Molecule: ribosomal RNA, 357 nt
Filed under: uncultured bacterium
Lineage: Bacteria
Description: partial 16S ribosomal RNA
Rfam family: Bacterial small subunit ribosomal RNA
Source: RNAcentral
CCUACGGGUGUCAGCAGUGAGGAAUAUUGGUCAAUGGUCGGGAGACUGACCCAGCCAAGCCGCGUGAGGGAUGAAGGUACAGAGUAUCGUCAACCUCUUUUGUCCGGGAACAAAGGCGGGGACGUGUCCCCGGAUGAGUGUACCUGAAGAAAAAGCAUCGGCUAACUCCGUGCCAGCAGCCGCGGUAAAACGGAGGCUGCGAGCGUUAUCCGGAUUUAUGGGGUUUAAAGGGUGCGAGGUCGGUCUGUUACGUAAGCGGUCACAGCCCGGGGCUCAACCCCGGCCCGCCGUGGGAACUGGCAGUCUCGAGUUGGAGAGAAGUAUGCGGAAUGCGCGGUGUAGCGGUGAAAUGCAUAG